This 253-nucleotide ribosomal RNA is filed under the name uncultured bacterium. RNAcentral's name for it is "partial 16S ribosomal RNA". It matches the Rfam family "Bacterial small subunit ribosomal RNA", at positions 524 to 776 of the family's 1533-position model. The record is from RNAcentral.
UACGGAGGGUGCGAGCGUUGUUCGGAAUCACUGGGCGUAAAGGGCGUGUAGGCGGCCCGCUAAGUCUGAUGUGAAAGCCCGGGGCUCACCCCCGGAAGUGCAUUGGAAACUGGCGGACUCGAGUCCCGGAGAGGAGAGUGGAAUUCCUGGUGUAGCGGUGAAAUGCGUAGAUAUCAGGAGGAACACCGGUGGCGAAGGCGGCUCUCUGGACGGUGACUGACGCUGAGGCACGAAAGCGUGGGGAGCAAACAGG